Molecule: ribosomal RNA, 375 nt
Filed under: uncultured organism
Description: partial 16S ribosomal RNA
Rfam family: Bacterial small subunit ribosomal RNA
Source: RNAcentral
GUAGGUGGCAAGCGUUGUCCGGAAUUAUUGGGCGUAAAGCGCGCGCAGGCGGUCCUUUAAGUCUGAUGUGAAAGCCCACGGCUCAACCGUGGAGGGUCAUUGGAAACUGGGGGACUUGAGUACAGAAGAGGAAAGCGGAAUUCCAAGUGUAGCGGUGAAAUGCGUAGAGAUUUGGAGGAGCACCAGUGGCGAAGGCGGCUUUCUGGUCUGUAACUGACGCUGAGGCGCGAAAGCGUGGGGAGCAAACAGGGAUUAGAUACCCUGGUAGUCCACGCCGUAAACGAUGAGUGCUAAGUGUUAGGGGGUUUCCCGCCCCUUAGUGCUGCAGCUAACGCAUUAAGCACUCCGCCUGGGGAGUACGGCCCCCCAAGGCUG